Molecule: ribosomal RNA, 252 nt
Filed under: uncultured bacterium
Lineage: Bacteria
Description: partial 16S ribosomal RNA
Rfam family: Bacterial small subunit ribosomal RNA
Source: RNAcentral
UACGUAGGUCCCGAGCGUUGUCCGGGUUUAUUGGGCAUAAAGCGAGCGCAGGUGGUUUAUUAAGUCUGGUGUAAAAGGCAGUGGCUCAACCAUUGUAUGCAUUGGAAACUGGUAGACUUGAGUGCAGGAGAGGAGAGUGGAAUUCCAUGUGUAGCGGUGAAAUGCGUAGAUAUAUGGAGGAACACCGGUGGCGAAAGCGGCUCUCUGGCCUGUAACUGACACUGAGGCUCGAAAGCGUGGGGAGCAAACAGG